AUUGAACGCUGGCGGCAGGCCUAACACAUGCAAGUCGAGCGGAUGAAGGGAGCUUGCUCCUGGAUUCAGCGGCGGACGGGUGAGUAAUGCCUAGGAAUCUGCCUGGUAGUGGGGGAUAACGUCCGGAAACGGGCGCUAAUACCGCAUACGUCCUGAGGGAGAAGGUGGGGGAUCUUCGGACCUCACGCUAUCAGAUGAGCCUAGGUCGGAUUAGCUAGUUGGUGGGGUAAAGGCCUACCAAGGCGACGAUCCGUAACUGGUCUGAGAGGAUGAUCAGUCACACUGGAACUGAGACACGGUCCAGACUCCUACGGGAGGCAGCAGUGGGGAAUAUUGGACAAUGGGCGAAAGCCUGAUCCAGCCAUGCCGCGUGUGUGAAGAAGGUCUUCGGGUUGUAAAGCACUUUAGGUUGGGAGGAAGGGCAGUAAGUUAAUACCUUGCUGUUUUGACGUUACCAACAGAAUAAGCACCGGCUAACUUCGUG
This 484-nucleotide ribosomal RNA is filed under the name uncultured bacterium. Its description in RNAcentral is "partial 16S ribosomal RNA". It matches the Rfam family "Bacterial small subunit ribosomal RNA", at positions 30 to 507 of the family's 1533-position model. The record is from RNAcentral.